CAGUGAUUUUAUUAUGAAAGUUUCAACAAUCUCAAAAACCAAGGUAUUGUAUUUAAAUGGUAAAUAUACAUUCACUGAUGUUCCUUAAUUAACCUUUGAAACAUUAUGCGUAUGAUUAUAAUACUAUUUUUCUUACUAAGUUUCAUGAAACUCACCGAAAUCCAUUUCCUCCCACAUGAUGUUGAAGAAGAGGACUUGUCUCUUGAUCUAUCCCUUGGGGCCUGUUUGGAUCCAUUUGUGGAUCCAUAGUUGGUUGAGUGGGAAUGUGCACUUCACUAUGAAAGAUCAGUAAU
RNAcentral lists this long non-coding RNA (293 nucleotides) under Carica papaya (papaya). Its description in RNAcentral is "long non-coding RNA (CPAP_LNC014398)". Lineage: Eukaryota; Viridiplantae; Streptophyta; Magnoliopsida; Brassicales; Caricaceae. The record is from RNAcentral.